GAUUCUGGCUCAGGAUGAACGCUAGCGACAGGCUAACACAUGCAAGUCGAGGGGCAGCACGGGAGUAGCAAUACUUGGUGGCGACCGGCGCACGGGUGAGUAACGCGUAUGCAACCUACCUAUCAGAGGGGAAUAACCCGGCGAAAGUCGGACUAAUACCGCAUAAAACAGGGGCACCGCAUGGUGAUAUUUGUUAAAGAAAUUCGCUGAUAGAUGGGCAUGCGUUCCAUUAGGUAGUUGGUGAGGUAACGGCUCACCAAGCCGACGAUGGAUAGGGGAACUGAGAGGUUGGUCCCCCACACUGGUACUGAGACACGGACCAGACUCCUACGGGAGGCAGCAGUGAGGAAUAUUGGUCAAUGGGCGGGAGCCUGAACCAGCCAAGUCGCCGUGAAGGAAGAAGGAUCUAUGGUUCGUAAACUUCUUUUGCAGGGGAAUAAAGUGCAGGACGUGUCCUGUUUUGUAUGUACCCUGAGAAUAAGGAUCGGCUAACUCCGUGCCAGCCGCCGC
RNAcentral lists this ribosomal RNA (510 nucleotides) under uncultured bacterium. RNAcentral's name for it is "bacterial SSU rRNA". It matches the Rfam family "Bacterial small subunit ribosomal RNA", at positions 15 to 518 of the family's 1533-position model. The record is from RNAcentral.